GCCUGAUCCAGCAUGCCGCGUGCAGGAUGAAGGCCCUCGGGUUGUAAACUGCUUUUGUACGGAACGAAAAGCCUGGGGCUAAUAUCCCCGGGUCAUGACGGUACCGUAAGAAUAAGCACCGGCUAACUACGUGCCAGCAGCCGCGGUAAUACGUAGGGUGCAAGCGUUAAUCGGAAUUACUGGGCGUAAAGCGUGCGCAGGCGGUUUUGUAAGACAGUGGUGAAAUCCCCGGGCUCAACCUGGGAACUGCCAUUGUGACUGCAAGGCUAGAGUGCGGCAGAGGGGGAUGGAAUUCCGCGUGUAGCAGUGAAAUGCGUAGAUAUGCGGAGGAACACCGAUGGCGAAGGCAAUCCCCUGGGCCUGCACUGACGCUCAUGCACGAAAGCGUGGGGAGCAAACAGGAUUAGAUACCCUGGUAGUCCACGCCCUAAACGAUGUCAACUGGUUGUUGGGUCUUAACUGACUCAGUAACGAAGCUAACGCGUGAAGUUGACCGCCUGGGGAGUACGGCCGCAAGGUUGAAACUCAAAGGAAAAUUGACGGA
Molecule: ribosomal RNA, 544 nt
Filed under: uncultured bacterium
Lineage: Bacteria
Description: bacterial SSU rRNA
Rfam family: Bacterial small subunit ribosomal RNA
Source: RNAcentral